GGGGCUGUAGCUCAGUUGGGAGAGCGCUUGAAUGGCAUUCAAGAGGUCGUCGGUUCGAUUCCGUCCAGCUCCACCA
RNAcentral lists this transfer RNA (76 nucleotides) under Desulfovibrio sp. RNAcentral describes it as "tRNA-Ala". It matches the Rfam family "tRNA". Rfam says of the family: Transfer RNA (tRNA) molecules are approximately 80 nucleotides in length. Their secondary structure includes four short double-helical elements and three loops (D, anti-codon, and T loops). The record is from RNAcentral. RNAcentral also lists the same sequence under 7 other names. Lineage: Bacteria; Pseudomonadati; Thermodesulfobacteriota; Desulfovibrionia; Desulfovibrionales; Desulfovibrionaceae.